CGAAGGGGCUAGCGUUGCUCGGAAUUACUGGGCGUAAAGGGAGCGUAGGCGGAUAGUUUAGUCAGAGGUGAAAGCCCAGGGCUCAACCUUGGAAUUGCCUUUGAUACUGGCUAUCUUGAGUACGGAAGAGGUAUGUGGAACUCCGAGUGUAGAGGUGAAAUUCGUAGAUAUUCGGAAGAACACCAGUGGCGAAGGCGACAUACUGGUCCGUUACUGACGCUGAGGCUCGAAAGCGUGGGGAGCAAACAGGAUU
RNAcentral lists this ribosomal RNA (253 nucleotides) under uncultured bacterium. RNAcentral's name for it is "partial 16S ribosomal RNA". It matches the Rfam family "Bacterial small subunit ribosomal RNA", at positions 527 to 779 of the family's 1533-position model. The record is from RNAcentral.